RNAcentral lists this non-coding RNA (25 nucleotides) under Cricetulus griseus (Chinese hamster). The record is from RNAcentral. Lineage: Eukaryota; Metazoa; Chordata; Mammalia; Rodentia; Cricetidae.
AGGGUAAAGUAGAGGUAGGACAUCA